UUUGUUCUGCCAAAGCCUGGGGAGGUGGAGUUGGCUGCUGGGAGGUAGAAUCCUGUGCCUGCCUCUUGGCGUCCCAGGGAUGGCUACUUGCAGCCCAGGAGAAGAGGGAUUCUGGGCCAACUCCUUUGCAG
Non-coding RNA from Chelonoidis abingdonii (Abingdon island giant tortoise), 131 nucleotides. Lineage: Eukaryota; Metazoa; Chordata; Testudines; Testudinidae. The record is from RefSeq and is a predicted model, not a curated record.